ACGCUGGCGGCAGGCCUAACACAUGCAAGUCGAGCGGAUGAAGGGAGCUUGCUCCCUGAUUUAGCGGCGGACGGGUGAGUAAUGCCUAGGAAUCUGCCUGGUAGUGGGGGAUAACGUUCCGAAAGGAACGCUAAUACCGCAUACGUCCUACGGGAGAAAGCAGGGGACCUUCGGGCCUUGCGCUAUCAGAUGAGCCUAGGUCGGAUUAGCUAGUUGGUGAGGUAAUGGCUCACCAAGGCGACGAUCCGUAACUGGUCUGAGAGGAUGAUCAGUCACACUGGAACUGAGACACGGUCCAGACUCCUACGGGAGGCAGCAGUGGGGAAUAUUGGACAAUGGGCGAAAGCCUGAUCCAGCCAUGCCGCGUGUGUGAAGAAGGUCUUCGGAUUGUAAAGCACUUUAAGUUGGGAGGAAGGGCAGUAAGCUAAUACCUUGCUGUUUUGACGUUACCGACAGAAUAAGCACCGGCUAACUUCGUGCCAGCAGCCGCGGUAAUACGAAGGGUGCAAGCGUUAAUCGGAAUUACUGGGCGUAAAGCGCGCGUAGGUGGUUCGUUAAGUUGGAUGUGAAAGCCCCGGGCUCAACCUGGGAACUGCAUCCAAAACUGGCGAGCUAGAGUACGGUAGAGGGUGGUGGAAUUUCCUGUGUAGCGGUGAAAUGCGUAGAUAUAGGAAGGAACACCAGUGGCGAAGGCGACCACCUGGACUGAUACUGACACUGAGGUGCGAAAGCGUGGGGAGC
Molecule: ribosomal RNA, 741 nt
Filed under: uncultured bacterium
Lineage: Bacteria
Description: bacterial SSU rRNA
Rfam family: Bacterial small subunit ribosomal RNA
Source: RNAcentral